GUGGUCUUCUUCUAUUCAAGUUAAAGUGAAUAUAAAACAAUUAUUUACCAAAAAAUCUUGUGUAUAACCUAAAAUUGUCUUGCAUAGCUCAUAUGCAUACAUUGAGAAAUGGUAGCCAAGAAGAAGGAGGAGGUAGUUGAAGUCCAACACAUUUGGAGGGUAAACACCAGCUUCUCUGCUCUUUGCCUAGAUAAACUUGGCAGAUUGUGGACCUCUUUGGAACUUUUGUAUAAAAAGAUAGAAGGUUAAAUGGACACUCCAGACAUUUAUAAACACCAGCUAUUAAGUAACUCAUGGUUGUUUGUUGAGAACCCUGGGUCUCCUAGCUUGGCUUGCAGAAUGAGUCACAGCUUUCUCCCAUGGUAACUGUGCAGACCUCCAGGGGUCUCCAUACCUCUAUUGAGAUCCAAGGCCUGUGCCCAUCUUUGGGAAUGCUGGUUGAGGUAUAUACAUAGGCGGGAAGGCAAUGCUGAGUUCCCUGUUCCCUAGGUCUAUAGUGUAUGCUGUUAAUCCCCACAGGAACCAUAAGUGAAAAACAAAGCAGGAAGAGCCACUGUAGUCACAGUUGAGGAUAAUAGCACUCAAAGAGAAAUGCGUUUUUCCAUGCAGUAUUAGAUGAUAGCUCAUAUGCUCUAUGCAAAUGCCAAGGGAAAACUGAAGGAGCAGGUUUGAUUCAGACAUGAAGCAGCAUCAAUAUCUAUAGCACUGGUCACCAUAGAAUGGAUGAGUCCAGGGGCCACUGGGUCUGAUUUGCCCAAUUUCUGCCAGUAUCUGCCUGGUUUAUACCUGUCAUCCCAGAGUAAGUGUCACAGUGCCCCCUUUACUCUCAGGUAUCCCAGAUUAGAAGAAAACUAGAUGGUUUCUCUAUUAAUGAGCAUAAUAAAGAACAGAGAAUGUAGGUGGUAUGUCCAAGGUCACAGAAUCACGGGGGCCCAAGAAGGAAGUAGAAGUUGAGGCAAUGUAGCUUACAGCCAAAGGCAUGGCUCCCUCCACAGGUGCCUCUGAGGAAUGGACUGUGACCUCAGUCCCAAUUCACCUCAUGGCCCAGCAUGGCACCUGCCUCCCUAAUACAGGUGGAGACUCCCUUAUUAAGAGUUUAUUUCUCCUGAUGGACAAGUAAUACACCCAGCUCAUGUGUUGGAUGUCUGUUAUGUGUCAAUCAGAAAGCUGGGUGUCCUGCAAAUUAACAUUUGUGAUCCUCAAAACCAAUCCUGUGAAAUAUAAUACCUGUUUCAGAGGGAGCCCUCAAAGGGAGUUGGCAGAGACCCAACAAAACAUUUCCAUCCAAGACAAGCACAGAGGUCUCAGCCAUUGGAAGAAUCCAUGGUUCUGUGUUCAUGGGCAUUCAGACUGCAGGAACUUGUGAGGCCGACAGUCAAGGCUUUCCUCAAAACCAUGUUUUUUUUAUAACCAGUAAUUUGUUCGGCGUGUAUAAUUCCAAAGAAUGCUACCAUUAGCAGUAUUACCCAUGCAAUCAAAUGUCUUUGUAAAUCCAUCAGACUCAGAAAACCUUUGGAUGAAGCUCCACAAGAGAUUGACUACCAUAGUCCUUAUGGGGGGGCAUUUUAAAAAUUCCUUUCUGAGCCAGCAAGGUGGCACAAGCCUGUAAUCCCAGCAGCUUGGGAGCUGAGGCAGGAGAAUCUAUAGUUCAAAGCCAUCCUCAACAAAAGCGAGGCACUAGGCAACUCAAUGAGACCCUGUCUCUAAAUAAAAUACAAAAUAGGGCUGGGGAUGUGGCUCAGUGGUUGAGUACCCCUGAGUCACAGUAAUAUCUACAAUAUCUACAAUGGGGUCUGAUUUGCCCAAUUCCUGAGUUUAAUCCCCAGUACCACUCCCCUCAACCCUCCCACAAAAAAAUCCCUUCUGAUCAAAGAUCAGAACUGGAUUGUAAUGUAGAUCUAGCCCUGUCUACACUGGUCACUAAGACAACAAACGUUCUUUCUGCAAAUAAAUCCACUUGAGGGUGCUGGGGGUUCUGAGGCCCAUCCCUAUGCCUGGCUCUUUGCUGUUUUUCAUUAGGACAUUCUGAACCCAUCUGGCCACAGGCCCAUUCCUAGAACAUACUUGAUUGGUGCAAUUUGGAAAGCUGGAAACAAAUAUUUUAAGUACAUAAUGUGUAGGGCAAAGCACCUUCCACUUUUGAGACCAACCUGAAGAUUGAUAUGAAUCUAUUUAUUAAAGCUCCUUUAAUGGAACUUUAAGUGUGAUUUAUUAAUAUUCCUAGAAGUCUGAACAUAGUCCUUCGGGGAUUUUUAUUUGCACAGUAAUGAGACAGAUUAUCAGCUCUUGCUGCUGAAACUGAUUCAAUCACUGGGGACAUGACACUGUAGUUAUUUUACAAAUAUUAUAAAAAACAAUGGAAUUG
Molecule: long non-coding RNA, 2365 nt
Filed under: Marmota monax (woodchuck)
Lineage: Eukaryota; Metazoa; Chordata; Mammalia; Rodentia; Sciuridae
Source: RNAcentral